GAUGAAGAACGUAGUGAAAUGCGAUACGUAAUGUGAAUUGCAGAAUUCAGUGAAUCAUCGAAUCUUUGAACGCACAUUGCGCCUGCCAGCACUCUGGCAGGCAUGCCUGUUCGAGCGUCAUUUCAACCAUCAAGCCCUAGGCUUGCGUUGGAGCCCUGCGGCUGCCGCAGGCCCCUAAAAGCAGUGGCGGGCUCGCUAUCACACCGAGUGCAGUAGAUUACUCUUCGCUCAGGGCGUGUGGCGGGUUCCAGCCGUGAAACCCCCUACUUCUCAAGGUUGACCUCGGAUCAGGUAGGAAUACCCGCUGAACUUAAGCAUAUCAUAAGCGGAGGA
RNAcentral lists this unclassified non-coding RNA (333 nucleotides) under soil metagenome. RNAcentral's name for it is "partial contains 5.8S ribosomal RNA, internal transcribed spacer 2, and large subunit ribosomal RNA". The stretch from base 1 to 120 matches the Rfam family "5.8S ribosomal RNA", at positions 35 to 154 of the family's 154-position model. The record is from RNAcentral.